CGUCUAUUCGUGACCCGGUCGCAUGCUUUUGUUGUCAUCUUGGUUCGGAAGUGUCGAACACAAUCGAGUGCAGCCUGGUGCAGCCGAGUGCGCGCCUUCAAGUCACGGAUAGAGUGUAGACUGAUGUAGGCGGAGUGCGAUGUGUGCAUCUUGUGUGUGAGGUGGGCAAUCUGCUUCGGACUCGGAAUCGCAGCAUAGUGCUGUCAUUUUCUGGUGCUGUCCAUGAACAUAGAAAUAUAUUGGCUACCGUCUUUUUUCUGUUUUCUCCGGCAAGACAUUACACGUCCUAACCUCAAACGACAUCGCUUUAAUUAUUUGAAACGAAACUGCAUCAGUAAUUUGUAAUCGCAAGUUUCACAUUUCACACAUCUCAAAAUGUCUUACAUGCUAUCGCAUUUGGAAAACGGUUAUCAAGUCGAUCAAGCCAUUUUAUCGGAAGAAGACAGAGUAGUGGUAAUUCGCUUUGGGCAUGAUUGGGAUCCAAUGUGUAUGAAAAUGGAUGAAGUUCUCUAUAAUAUUGCAGAAAAAGUUAAAAACUUUGCCGUUAUUUACUUGGUGGACAUCACAAAAGUACCAGAUUUCAAUAAAAUGUAUGAACUUUACGACCCAUGUACGGUAAUGUUCUUCUUUAGGAACAAACAUAUCAUGAUAGAUUUAGGUACCGGCAACAACAACAAAAUAAAUUGGACAUUGGAAGACAAACAGGAAAUGAUCGACAUCAUUGAAACGGUUUACAGAGGUGCAAGAAAAGGUCGAGGUUUAGUUGUCUCUCCUAAAGAUUACUCUACUAAAUAUCGAUAUUAAUUUACUUAUAAAAUAUAUGAAUGCUUUUGUAUAUUGCGAAGAUAGAUAUUAAUGCUAUAUUUGUUUCAAGGCAAGACGUUACAUAUGAAAUCAGAUGAACAAUCCUCCAAUUUUGAGUGGACAAUAUGCACUAAGAAUAUCUAUCGCUAUUAAUGUCCCUGUUCUACCUAUCCCUGCACUGUAAAGAAAGAAUAUACCUGCAAUGAACAACGAUGAAACCUUUAUUAGAGGUAAUAUUGCGGCGCAUUAUUUGGCAAAAAUUGAUCAUUGCAUCGAAAUCUUCCGGAACAUCGUGAUCGGGCCAGUCUUUAAAGUGCAGAUGAGUAAUAAUUCUUUUUUUAUUUUCCUGUAAUUAUAAUAAUACUUUUAUAGCUCUA
RNAcentral lists this unclassified non-coding RNA (1181 nucleotides) under Monomorium pharaonis (pharaoh ant). Its description in RNAcentral is "thioredoxin-like protein 4A, transcript variant X2". The record is from RNAcentral. Lineage: Eukaryota; Metazoa; Arthropoda; Insecta; Hymenoptera; Formicidae.